GUGGGUGCAGCGAACUUUAUUGAUGGUAUUAAGAGAGUAGGGAGGGCUCCCUAAGCCUCUACUGUUACUAUGGGGGUCUGGGGUGGGAACUGUGAGGGAAAUGCUCAGUGUUGGGGGCCAAGCUGGGUCAGGGACUCCUCAGCAACUGCAGGCCUCUCUCUUACUCUCAGUGUCCUUGCUGGGGUGAGUGGUCCAGGGUUUCUUACUCCUUGGAGCCCAUGUAGGCCAUGAGGACCACACCUUGUUGUUGUCAUAAAGGAAAUGAGCUUUACAAAGUUGUCAUUGAGAGCAAUGCCAGGCCCAGCAUCAAAGGUGGAAGAGUGGGAGUUGUUGUUGAAGUCGCAGGAGACAUCUUGGUCCUCAGUGUAGCCCAGGAUGCCCUUUAGUGGGCCCUCAGAUGCCUGCUUCACCACCUUCUUGAUGUCAUCAUACUUGGCAGGUUUCUCCAGACAGCAUGUCAGAUCCACAACGGAUACAUUGGAGAUGCAGAGAGGGCAGCCCUAGAAACCAGUCACCCAAUAUGGCAAAUCCAUUCACACCGAUCUUCACCAUCCUGUCUACUGAACAAGGCUGGCCCUGCAUGAGAAGAUGCUGCUGUCUCUGGAACAGGGAGCCCAAAAUAUUCGUAAUAUAUUGACAAAAGUCUUAAGUGCAAGGUUUCUAUUAACGCUGGACUACAUGUAAAGUAAUGGGUGUGCAUGUCCGCUAAUGAUCCUUAUCUUAAGUUCCCUUUUUAUGGUGAGGACUGCAGGAGGUAUCAUCUCAACAAUCAGGAAC
This 777-nucleotide long non-coding RNA is filed under the name Rattus norvegicus (Norway rat). RNAcentral describes it as "long non-coding RNA NONRATT033265". Lineage: Eukaryota; Metazoa; Chordata; Mammalia; Rodentia; Muridae. The record is from RNAcentral.